This 91-nucleotide transfer RNA is filed under the name Marichromatium gracile. Its description in RNAcentral is "tRNA-Ser". It matches the Rfam family "tRNA". From Rfam's summary of the family: Transfer RNA (tRNA) molecules are approximately 80 nucleotides in length. RNAcentral also lists the same sequence under 6 other names. Lineage: Bacteria; Pseudomonadati; Pseudomonadota; Gammaproteobacteria; Chromatiales; Chromatiaceae. The record is from RNAcentral.
GGAGAGGUGUCCGAGUGGUUUAAGGAGCACGCCUGGAAAGUGUGUAUAGGUUAAUAGCCUAUCGUGGGUUCGAAUCCCACCCUCUCCGCCA